Molecule: long non-coding RNA, 242 nt
Filed under: Hordeum vulgare
Lineage: Eukaryota; Viridiplantae; Streptophyta; Magnoliopsida; Poales; Poaceae
Description: long non-coding RNA (HVUL_LNC010336)
Source: RNAcentral
ACCCCUAGUCGACAUCCUUACUCUCUAGGCGGUAAAGCCUAAUAAGGAGAGACCUAGCUCGGGUAACAAUUGAAAGGACGUGGAUGUCGCCUAGAGGGGGUGAAUAGGCACUUUACAAUAAUUAAGGUUUAGGCAUGAACAAAUGCGGAAUAAAACUAAUGUUUAAUUAGUCAAGCACAAAACCUAAAACAACCAGGCUCACCUAUGUGCACCAACAACUUAUGCUAAUCAAGAUAAAAAAA